GGGCUUGUAGCUCAGUGGACUAAGAGCACGCGUUUCCGAAGCGCGAAGUCGAGGGUUCGAAUCCCUCCUUGCCCA
RNAcentral lists this transfer RNA (75 nucleotides) under Symbiochloris handae. Its description in RNAcentral is "tRNA-Arg". It matches the Rfam family "tRNA". Rfam says of the family: Transfer RNA (tRNA) molecules are approximately 80 nucleotides in length. Their secondary structure includes four short double-helical elements and three loops (D, anti-codon, and T loops). Further hydrogen bonds mediate the characteristic L-shaped molecular structure. tRNAs have two regions of fundamental functional importance: the anti-codon, which is responsible for specific mRNA codon recognition, and the 3' end, to which the tRNAs corresponding amino acid is attached (by aminoacyl-tRNA synthetases). tRNAs cope with the degeneracy of the genetic code in two manners: having more than one tRNA (with a specific anti-codon) for a particular amino acid; and 'wobble' base-pairing, i.e. permitting non-standard base-pairing at the 3rd anti-codon position. The record is from RNAcentral. Lineage: Eukaryota; Viridiplantae; Chlorophyta; Trebouxiophyceae; Trebouxiales; Trebouxiaceae.